GGACUUAGUUUGUCUGCCAGUUAACAUUAUAUUACACAGUCUGCAGUUAAGUUUUUUUAAAUAAUUUAUAGGAUUCACAAACCAUCCUGGAUUUAUACCAAACUUUGACAGAAUCUUCUCUUACAAUUAAAAGAUAGUAUCUAGAGGAAAGUUUUUUUUUAAUUUUCCUCUCAUUUUUGUUAACUGUAAAUCUAUUAUGGACAUUUCCCUAUCAUACCUGAAAACAUAGACAACAGCAAAAGAAAGCAAGACACUGGGUUCCGCUGAACCCUUACAAAUUUUUGUGUAUUACUAUCAGCUUAUCAAAUGUAUAAAACAUUUAACUUCUUGUUAAUAUGAAGAAAAGAAAAG
RNAcentral lists this long non-coding RNA (351 nucleotides) under Mytilus galloprovincialis (Mediterranean mussel). Lineage: Eukaryota; Metazoa; Mollusca; Bivalvia; Mytilida; Mytilidae. The record is from RNAcentral.